Non-coding RNA from Cladobotryum mycophilum, 83 nucleotides. The record is from the annotation of a GenBank genome assembly. NCBI's taxonomy places the organism in Eukaryota, Fungi, Ascomycota, Sordariomycetes, Hypocreales, Hypocreaceae.
GGUCGAGUAGUAUAACGGUAGAACGCGAGUUUCACAGAUUGUAUCAUUCACUCGAGGCCCGGGUUCGAUUCCCGGCUCGACUA